AUUGAACGCUGGCGGCAUGCCUUACAUAUGCAAGUCGAACGGUAACGCGGGGCAACCUGGCGACGAGUGGCGAACGGGUGAGUAACGCAUCGGAACGUGCCCAGUAGUGGGGGAUAGCCCGGCGAAAGCCGGAUUAAUACCGCAUACGACCUAAGGGUGAAAGCGGGGGAUCGCAAGACCUCGCGCUAUUGGAGCGGCCGAUGUCAGAUUAGGUAGUUGGUGAG
Molecule: ribosomal RNA, 224 nt
Filed under: uncultured bacterium
Lineage: Bacteria
Description: partial 16S ribosomal RNA
Rfam family: Bacterial small subunit ribosomal RNA
Source: RNAcentral